Molecule: ribosomal RNA, 178 nt
Filed under: uncultured Candida
Lineage: Eukaryota; Fungi; Ascomycota; Saccharomycetes; Saccharomycetales
Description: partial 26S ribosomal RNA
Rfam family: Eukaryotic large subunit ribosomal RNA
Source: RNAcentral
AAACCAACAGGGAUUGCCUCAGUAACGGCGAGUGAAGCGGCAAAAGCUCAAAUUUGAAAUCUAGCACUUUCAGUGUUCGAGUUGUAAUUUGAAGAAGGUAACUUUGGUUUUGGCUCUUGUCUAUGUUCCUUGGAACAGGACGUCACAGAGGGUGAGAAUCCCGUGCGAUGAGAUGCCC